GUUAGUUUAUUUUUCAGUUUGCCUCUGACAUUAUUUCAGCUGCAGUUGACAGUUUAAGACCUGUUCUCACUUAUGUUAAGGCUGUAGAACAGGACUGUAACAGAAAAAAAAAAAUUAAUAUACAGUAUAGUCAUAAUAUAGCACAGUGUAAAAACGUUUGGAAAAAAUGUCAAAAUAGGCAUUAAAAAAUUUUAAAUUUAGAAAGUGUAGAAAGGCAUAACAAUGUCAAAAGAUGUCAUAGUAUAGUAAGGCAUGAAAAAUGCUCUGAAAAGGUUACAGUAUAGUAAGGCAUGAAAAAUGGUUUAAAAAUGUCAUAGUAUAGUAAGGCUUCCAAAACUGUCAAAAAAAUUGUCAUAAUAUAGUAAGGUUUGAAAAAUGGUCCAAAAAAAUCUCAUAGUAUAGUAAGGCUUUUGUCAAACAAUGUCAUAGUAUAAUUAAGCUUUAAAAAACAUCGAAAAAUGUCAUAGGGUAUUAAGGCAUGAAAAAUAGUCAAAAAGUCAUAGUAUAGUAAAGCUUCAAAAAUGGUCUAAAAAUGUCAUAGUAUAGUAAGGCAGUAAAACGGACAAAAAAUGUCAUAGUGUAGUAAGGCUUCCAAAACUGUUAAAAAAAAUGACAUUAAGGUGUCAAAAGUGGUGAAAAAAAACUCAUAGCAUAGUAAGGCUUCAAAAAUGGUCUAAAAAGUCAUAGUAUACUAAGGCUUCAAAAAUGGUGAAAAAAUGUCAUAGUAUAGGAAGGCUUCCAAAACUGUCAAAAAAUGUCAUAGUAUAGUAAGGCAUGAAAAAUGGUCAAAAAAGUCAUAGUAUAGUAAAGCUUCCCAAAUGGUCUAAUAAUGUCAUAGUAUAAUAAGGCUUCCCAAAUGGUCUAAAAAUGUCAUAGCAUAGUAAGGCAUGAAAAAUGGUCAAAAAGUCAUAGUAUAGUAAAGCUUCAAAAAUGAUCUAAAAAUGUCAUAGUAUAGUAAGGCUUCCAAAACUGACAAAAAAUGUCAUAGUAUUGUAAAGCUUCAAAAAUGGUGAAAAAAGUCAUAGUAUAGUAAGGCAUCAAAAUGGUCUAAAAGUCAUAGUAUACUAAGGCUUCCAAAACUGACAAAAAAUGUUAUAGUAUAGUAAGGAAUGAAAAAUGGUCAAAAAAAGUCAUAGUAUAGUAAGGAAUGAAAAAUGGUCAAAAAAAAAGUCAUAGUAUAGUAAGGCUUCAAAAAUCAUCAAAAAAAGUCAUAGUAUAGUAAGUCUUCAAAAAUGGUCAAAAAAGUCAUAGUAUAAUAAGGCUUCCAAAACCAUUUUAAAAAGUCAUAGUAUAAUAAGGCAUGAAAAAUAGUCAAAAAAAGUCAUAGUAUAGUAAGGAAUGAAAAAUGGUCAAAAAAAGUCAUAGUAUAGUAAGGCAUGAAAAAUGGUCAAAAAAAGUCAUAGUAUAGUAAGGCUUCCAAAACCAUCAAAAAAGUCAUAGUAUAGUAAGGCGUCAAAAACGGUCAAAAAAUGUCAUAGUAUAGUAAGGUGUCCAAAACCAUCAAAAAAGUCAUAGUAAAGUAAGGCAUGAGAAAUGGUCAAAAAAGUCAUAGUAUAGUAAGGCUUCCAAAACCAUUAAAAAAGUCAUAGUAUAGUAAGGCUUCAAAAAUCAACCAAAAAAGCCAUAGUAUAGUAAGGCAUGAAGAAUGGUCAAAAAAAGUCAUAGUACAUUAAGGAAUGAAAAAUGGUCAAAAAAAGUCAUAGUAUAGUAAGACUUCAAAAAUCAUCAAAAAAAGUCAUAGUAUAGUAAGGCUUCAAAAAAGGUCAAAAAAAGUCAUAGUAUAGUAAGGCAUGAAAAGUGGUCAAAAAAUGUCAUAGUACAGUAAGGCAUGAGAAAUGGUCAAAAAAAGUCAUAGUAUGGUAAGGCUUCCAAAACCAUUAAAAAAAAGUCAUAGUAAAGUAAGGCAUGAUAAAUGGUCAAAAAUGUCAUAGUAUAGUAAGGCUUCCAAAACUGUCAAAAAGUCAUAGUAUAGUAAGGCAGUAAAACUGACAAAAAAAUCAUAGUAUAGUAAAGCUUCCAAAACCAUUAAAAAAGUCAUAGUAUAGUAAGGCGUCAAAAACGGUCAAAAAAUGUCAUAGUAUAGUAAGGUGUCCAAAACCAUCAAAAAAGUCAUAGUAAAGUAAGGCAUGAGAAAUGAUCAAAAAAGUCAUAGUAUAGUAAGGCUUCCAAAACCAUUUAAAAAGUCAUAGUAUAGUAAGGCUUCAAAAAUCAUCAAAAAAAGUCAUAGUAUAGUAAGGAAUGAAAAAUGGUCAAAAAAAGUCAUAGUAUAGUAAAGCUUCAAAAAUCAUCAAAAAAAGUCAUAGUAUAGUAAGGCAUGAGAAAUGGUCAAAAAAAAGUCAUAGUAUAGUAAGGCAUGAGAAAUGGUCAAAAAAAGUCAUAUUAUAGUAAGGCAUGAGAAAUGGUCAAAAAAAGUCAUAGUAUAGUAAGGCAUGAGAAAUGGUCAAAAAAGUCAUAGUAUAGUAAGGCUUCCAAAACCAUCAAAAAAGUCAUAGUAAAGUAAGGCAUGAGAAAUGGUCAAAAAAGUCAUAGUAUAGUAAGGCUUCCAAAACCAUUAAAAAAGUCAUAGUAUAGUAAGGCUUCAAAAAUCAACAAAAAAAGCCAUAGUAUAGU
Long non-coding RNA from Lates calcarifer (barramundi perch), 2610 nucleotides. RefSeq lists it as uncharacterized. The record is from RefSeq and is a predicted model, not a curated record. The transcript is spliced from 4 exons. NCBI's taxonomy places the organism in Eukaryota, Metazoa, Chordata, Actinopteri, Centropomidae.